AGCGCAGGCGGGAAGACAAGUUGGAAGUGAAAUCUAUGGGCUCAACCCAUAAACUGCUUUCAAAACUGUUCUUCUUGAGUAGUGCAGAGGUAGGCGGAAUUCCCGGUGUAGCGGUGGAAUGCGUAGAUAUCGGGAGGAACACCAGUGGCGAAGGCGGCCUACUGGGCACCAACUGACGCUGAGGCUCGAAAGUGUGGGUAGCAAACA
This 207-nucleotide ribosomal RNA is filed under the name uncultured bacterium. Its description in RNAcentral is "partial 16S ribosomal RNA". It matches the Rfam family "Bacterial small subunit ribosomal RNA", at positions 568 to 774 of the family's 1533-position model. The record is from RNAcentral.